This 397-nucleotide ribosomal RNA is filed under the name uncultured bacterium. RNAcentral's name for it is "partial 16S ribosomal RNA". It matches the Rfam family "Bacterial small subunit ribosomal RNA", at positions 523 to 918 of the family's 1533-position model. The record is from RNAcentral.
AUACGUAGGGGGCGAGCGUUGUCCGGAAUGACUGGGCGUAAAGGGCGUGUAGGCGGCGGUGUAAGUCUGGAGUGAAAGUCCCGCAUUCAAUGUGGGAAUUGCUUUGGAUACUGCAGUGCUAGAGUGGGGAAGAGGUAAGUGGAAUUCCCAGUGUAGAGGGGAAAUGCGUAGAGAUUGGGAGGAACACCAGUGGCGAAGGCGACUUACUGGGCCGUAACUGACGCUGAGGCGCGAAAGCGUGGGGAGCGAACAGGAUUAGAUACCCUGGUAGUCCACGCGGUAAACGAUGAAUGCUAGGUGUUGCGGGUAUCGACCCCUGCAGUGCCGGAGUAAACACAAUAAGCAUUCCGCCUGGGGAGUACGGCCGCAAGGUUGAAACUCAAAGGAAUUGACGGGG